CAGCCGCCGCGGUAAUACGUAGGGGGCGAGCGUUACCCGGAUUCACUGGGCGUAAAGGGGGUGUAGGCGGCUCGGUAAGUCGGGUGUGAAAUCCCACGGCUCAACCGUGGAAUUGCGCCCGAAACUGCCGAGCUUGGGGCCGGUAGAGGGAGACGGAACUGCCGGUGUAGGGGUGAAAUCCGUAGAUAUCGGCAGGAACGCCGGUGGGGAAGCCGGCCUCCUGGGCCGCGCCCGACGCUGAGGCCCGAAAGCUAGGGGAGCAAACCGGAUUAGAUACCCGGGUAGUCCUAGCCGUAAACGAUGCCCACUAGGUGUGGGGGAGUAUUUCCUCCGUGCUGUAGCUAACGCGUUAAGUGGGCCGCCUGGGGAGUACGGCCGCAAGGCUGAAACUUAAAGGAAUUGGCGGG
RNAcentral lists this ribosomal RNA (407 nucleotides) under uncultured microorganism. RNAcentral describes it as "bacterial SSU rRNA". It matches the Rfam family "Bacterial small subunit ribosomal RNA", at positions 509 to 917 of the family's 1533-position model. The record is from RNAcentral.